Molecule: ribosomal RNA, 543 nt
Filed under: Taenia pisiformis
Lineage: Eukaryota; Metazoa; Platyhelminthes; Cestoda; Cyclophyllidea; Taeniidae
Description: partial ribosomal RNA
Source: RNAcentral
AGCGGGKUCUCGCGACUAAUCCGAGGUCAGUCAGUCAGUCAGUCAGCCAGCCAGCCAGCCAGCCAGCCAGCCAGCCAGUGAAUUUGUGCAUUUGUAUGCASRGGGGCAGRUAGUGAUGUMACAKUGCASGSUGAGGGGAUCACUCGCACAUUCAGAUAGCACAGGSACAGGGGGUCGGGGUUUGUGWAUUGSACACACACACACACACACACACACACACACACACCCAGCUCUCCACUUUUUCCUUUGCUUCCAUCUCCAYCWCCCWAUUUUMCCACDHYAUGCAACGCUACGCCARAMGGAGAAGGAAASAAGAAGCGGUGGCGGUGGCGGUGGCGGUGGCGGUAACAACAACCACUGUAGCACAAUCAUCACCGCUGCACACACCUUCAAGAGAAGCCGCAUGCGCAGUGCACGCACACACCCACUCACGGAGAAUGCUASAUSACAGCACAGCACAGCACGGCAUCGCACAACACGGCAGUCCCUCAAGCCGCUGCUUUCGUUACGCACAGUGAUAGUUUGUAAGCCGACGCUCGGAUA